CAAACCAAAUUCUGAGGCAGUUGUUUCCUGCAUGGUUGAGAUGAUGCAGGCACAGUUUUCGCCAGCCAUGUUGACUACUUUACUAGAUGUUUGUUGAAUACUGUAGAAAUAAAAAAAAAAAAAAAAAAAAAAACAGCAGAUAAAAAAAAAGCAGAAUUCAAAUAAUAAGAGCUUGAAGUAAAAGAGGGAGCAGCUCCUCUACACAGUCCACCAUGGUGCACAGCAAUGUUUCUACAGUAGCCAAGAAUGGACAAACCAAUCAUUGGCUCUAGAGAAGCCCUCUGACAUAUCAUGGACCAUAUAUCCUUCGUGCUUGGAAGGGGAGGGUUUUCUUCGUGGUGAUUUACUCGGCUUGAUAGGAAAAGUGAAUCUUCACUCACGUCCAUAAAGGGCUGUGGGAACAGAUGUCCCCAC
Acanthopagrus latus (yellowfin seabream) is the source of this 414-nucleotide long non-coding RNA. RefSeq lists it as uncharacterized. The record is from RefSeq and is a predicted model, not a curated record. The transcript has 3 exons. Lineage: Eukaryota; Metazoa; Chordata; Actinopteri; Spariformes; Sparidae.